Molecule: long non-coding RNA, 1064 nt
Organism: Fundulus heteroclitus (mummichog)
Lineage: Eukaryota; Metazoa; Chordata; Actinopteri; Cyprinodontiformes; Fundulidae
Exons: 3
Source: RefSeq, a predicted model, not a curated record
CCAUCACUGCUGAAUAAGAGAGCCGCCAAAUGGACUCCUCCUCCCUGCAAUGUGUGGACUUUGAUAUUUCUUAAUAUGGACUUAAACAGAAGACUUCAACUGUUCAUAGGUUGUUGAGAACGCUCCUCCUUUGGUUUGUUAGGUAUUAAAGGUUAUCUAAGCUGAAGACACUUUGGGGCAACUUCUCAGAAAUCACACCUCGCUUCAACAACUUAAAAGUCUCAAGACUUCCUUUUUCUUUUGGUUCCUGCUCAGCAAGAAAGCUGUUAAAUUUACUCUCAACUUCAUUCUCUAAAGGGAGCGCCACAGUCAGAGGACCAGUUUACCACUUAGUAGUCCAGCAAAGAAAAAUAAAAGCGCAACAAUGAGCAUCCUUCCUGUUUGCCUGCUUGUUGGUUUGCUGCUGCUCCAGGGCACUGCGCCCCAGCAAAAUGACGAGGUUAAACGGCUCUAUGAGCAGUUUCUUAAUCAGCACGUAAUUGGAGCCCUGGAUGAAAACGACUGCUCAAAACUGAUAGAAGAAAGAAAAAUAAAAGAUAAGAACGGUUUUAAGGAGACCAACACAUUCAUCAUUGCCAGUAAAGAAGCUGUCACAGCCAUUUGUCAGGGUAGAAAAUCUGGUGAAAAUAUAGAAAGUAAAGGAAAAUUCAACGUAGUUGUGUGUACGCACGUGGAUAAGGGGAAGUACAAGGGAGAGAGACUGGGUUACCAUUAUAUUGCAGUAGGCUGUAAAGAUUAUUUCCCCGUGCAUUUUGGCACUCAGCGAAAAAAACCAUUGCACUCUAAAGGAUAAUCUCACAUCCUCCGCUCAAAAAUCAGAAGGCAGAUGUAAUCUUUAAAUCUUCAUUAUAUACUACACUGCUGUAUUGGUGAGGGAACAUAGUAAUCUGAGCAUCAAACUAUUUUGUUUUUUUUUUUUCUCUAGUUUUAUUCAUUUUGCUUUAUUUUCUAGCAUGGCACACGUUCCUGCUUCAUUGCAUUCAAAGAAUGAUUCAGGAAGUGAACAAUUAUAGCUUGUGAACACAUAUCAUUCAACAAAUAAAGGAAAUAAGACUCAACUUGUA